UACGUAGGAGGCAAGCGUUGUCCGGAAUUACUGGGCGUAAAGCGCGUGUAGGUGGUGGGGCAAGUCUGCUGUGAAAGCGCCUGGCUUAACCGGGCGAGGUCGGCGGAAACUGUCCGACUCGAGGACGGUAGAGGGGGGUGGAAUUCCCGGUGUAGUGGUGAAAUGCGUAGAGAUCGGGAGGAACACCUGUGGCGAAGGCGGUUCUCUGGGCCUUACCUGACGCUGAGGAGCGAAAGCGUGGGGAGCGAACAGG
RNAcentral lists this ribosomal RNA (253 nucleotides) under uncultured bacterium. Its description in RNAcentral is "partial 16S ribosomal RNA". It matches the Rfam family "Bacterial small subunit ribosomal RNA", at positions 524 to 776 of the family's 1533-position model. The record is from RNAcentral.